CACAGGCAGUGAGUUUGGUGACUUGCAAAGUACAUCCAUCCCCACCUCCUCACCUCCACCCAUGUCCUCUCACAGCAUGACCCCAUCGCAUCCCCAAGUUUAGGUCUGGAUCUGCACAGGCAGUGAAAGCACCUGCAAAUGUGAUCCUCUGUGCAUUUACAGUGCCACCCAUCCAUGUGAUAUGCUAAACGAUGAAAACAGUAGCACAUGAAGUUACACGCUGACUCUUGUCUGGAUUUGAAGCUGCUGGUUACACCCAGCCUUUGGUUUCCUGCGGUUUCAAAUGAAGGUUUUCUUUCUCCUCCUUAGGACAGCUCCUGGGCUUGUGCCAACCACGUAGUGCUGGACCCGCUCCCAUAUGCGUGUGGACUCACUUCCUUCAGUGCAGUACAUUUGGUCCUUCCUUGGCAUGCUGAUAUAAAUAAGGUCA
Long non-coding RNA from Neopsephotus bourkii (Bourke's parrot), 430 nucleotides. RefSeq lists it as uncharacterized. The transcript is spliced from 3 exons. The record is from RefSeq and is a predicted model, not a curated record. NCBI's taxonomy places the organism in Eukaryota, Metazoa, Chordata, Aves, Psittaciformes, Psittacidae.